CAGGAUACAGGAACUGGGAGAGAGCUGAGUAAGCAUGAAAAGAUCACUUUUAGAGUCUCCAUUACUGCCUCUGCCUCCAGUCCCAGCACUGCAGAAACACAGACGAGAGAGGAGAGUUAUGGAUUGAGCGACUUAUCGCUGUCUCUAUUCAUUUAGUGUUUCCCCUGCUGAUAUUGAAGGGUCGUGACGGAAAGGACUUUGUCUCAUCUGGUGAAGUGGUUUGGCUAUGUCCCCACCCAAAUCUCAUCUUGAAUUCCUGUGUGUUGUGGGAGGGACCCAGUGGGAGGAUUGACCUUUUAGUGGACUGAAUUAUCUACUCAUUUUCAAUUAAGUUUCCAUAUGGCAAAUUGAAGCUGACCCUGUUACAAUUAGAAAACUACACAGAAGAAAAGAGGCCAUAAAUACUGUGAGAGAAAUUGUAUUUUUGGAUGUUGUGUGUUUAUAUUUCUCCAGCUCCCCACAGAAAGAAAGAAAAGGAAAAGAAAAAAGAAAGAAAUGCAGAGCUGUUAAAAUAUGUUGGGUAAAAUGGGCAAUCAGUUAACCUACAUAACUGUAAAUCCCUCUCCUACCAUAGGUCUCAUUUGUUCCAGUAUCCUCCAUCAUUGAUUUGGUUUCCUUGUGUAGACUCUAAAAAGAUUUUAUUAAGGUGAUAAAGUUUUAAGAAGAUUUAUUGUUAUUAAGAGGCAAAAAAUAUACCUCGGUGAUAGGGUGAUCUGUGCAGCGAACCACCAUGGCACAUGUUUGUCUAUGUAACAAACCAGCACAGUCCUUCUUAUGUACCCAUGAACUUCAAAUAAAAGUUAGAAAUAAAAAAGUUAAAAAAAAAACACCACCACCACCACCACCAACAAAAAGAGAAUAGAAAAAAUAUUAACCUCAAAGAAAGUAAACCUGGCUUUAUGACUGAGUCCUGCACCUGCUCACUUGGAUAAGUCAUUUAACCUGCCUGGAUCUCAGUUUUGUCAUCUCUAAAAUAAGAAUAAUAACACUUCUGUUACUAGGGGGUGUUCAGGAUUAAGGGCCACAAUAUACAUGAUAGCUGUUAAAACUGACAUGAUGGUAUUAAGUUUUGCAUCUGUGAUAAACUAAUUACUCAUAAGAAUUUUUUUUAUUUUUAAAAUUGUCUUAAAAUUUUAGUCAUUUAAAGUGUUUAGGAAGCAUUUGAUAAAGACCAAAUAGGCACAGUAGUGUAUUCCCUAAGGGAAAUGUCUUGAAAAAAACUGGAAUAAUUGCACUGGUCUCUUAGCCUAGUCAUGCUUCCCAGCCUGUGUCAGAGUCCAAUUCUGUAUGACUCUCAAAUUCAUCUCAUCCAUUAGUAAAUUAGAAGAGUAGACUGAAAGGGAGAAAGCUUUCUCCUUUCCCCAAAAUAUCUCCUUCACCAUCUAGUCAUAGAACUACCAUUUCCCACCAAUUUGUGAAAUGUAUUUCAUUGUAAACACAAAUUUGAGGGGCAAUUGAUGUAUUGAUUCAUGUGUCCUGGGGUGACAGGGGUCAGCAAGUGAGCAGACCACACUGGUAAUUAGGUAAUUAGCAUGUAAUGAAAGGUUUUCUUGUCUUUCAUGAAGACUUCUUUCUUCUCUGUGUGAAAUGCACAGAUUUAUACAGUCACACCCCAAAACAAAGACAAAAAACACUUCAGGUUUGACUGAAUGCAAUGUCACAGCACAAAAAUUAGAAAGCUAUUGAAGUAUUUUUGAAAUGUAGACAAUUUUCCCCUAACAAAGAACAAAGGAAAUUUGCCCGAAUGUCUAUUUCAUCAGCUGAUUUUUUUUUUACAAGCAGAAUUUUGCAAACAGCUUAGUUUGAAAAUUUGAGAUGAUUGUUGAUUUAAUAUUUUUGGGCCAGUUUUCAGGUUUUCUUUUGCACUAAACAAUUACAAACGUUUUUCUUAUUUUCAGCACAACCCUCUAAGACUAACUGUGCCACUCAUUACUGUAUUACUUCUGAGCUCCAAAGUCAUCCUUUGUUACAUGCUUUGCGAUAAUGGAGCUUUACCCUUUAAGCAUUUUUCUUUUGCUGUGGGCAUGGUAUUAAGCUUUGUCAGAAGAGAGCAGUGGAGGGACAGUGAAGGAGGAUGGGACUCCUCCUCUUCUUGGUUCCAUUUGUGUUUUUUCUCAAUGCAUGGCUGGCAGUGGCAUGUUAGAUGGAGACAGCCAGGAGUGCUCUGCCCAAUUGUGUGCUUGAAGUGAGUUUGAAAUCUCAGCCCUAGCCUAGUAGUCUGCUUUUGAGAUCUUUCCAAGGUCAACACUGUGUUUUCCAGGCUUCAUGCUACCCAGCCAAUAAGUGAACUACUGAUACUCCAAUGCUCCCCUUCCUCGGCUCACCUACACUCCAGGAGGUUGUUUCUCAUGGCCCUCAUGAAUCAGACAAUGUAUAUUGUACUGCAGACCUCACACCAUCAUGCAGGUCAAUGAGCUCCCCAUGCUCUAACUCCAUCCACAUAGUACCCACUAGACGUGGCCAGUCUGUAUUUGGAAGAAUAUUUCUUGCUUGCCCCAUGAUUAUGAACCCGCUCUGGCUCAGGAACACCAAUGAAAUUCCUCACUAUCCAGUCAGCUGUGACCGUAUCUUCUCCAACAAGAUCUGAACCUCAGACUUGGAGUGGGGCCCUCCUUCCAAAUUUGUUCUUCUCUUGGGUAUUCUCUUCUCCUUCACCUUGAGAUAUUCCUUAGUUUUCUUUACUCCUGUGUAGUCACUUACCUGCUAUAGGUAAUAAUUGUUUACAUUAAACUUUUCCUGUUAAAUUACAAUUGCAAGGUCAACCUUUUGUUUGGUCACUCUGAUAUUCUACACUAAUACAGAAUUGGUAUUGAGAUGGAGAGUAAUCCCAGUUUAUAGACUUGCAAAGAUGGGGUUUUGAAAUUGGUUUGGUUUUGCCCUUGGACAUGAGCACAAAGCUGAGCUCUUCUCUAAUAGAAAGUGGGAUGUUAGUAAUUCAUGGUAUGCAGGGAUAUCAUAAUCAAUCAUACUAUAACCAGUGGUAGAUUGCCAUGAAAUGUGAACUACAGUGAGUGUCUUGGAUGCUCAGGAGGCUGCAGUUGAGUUGACAAGGAUGAUAAUAAUGACAACUUCAAGGACUGUGGUAUGGGGGGACUAAUUUUGAUUGAACCUGAGUACCUAAGACAGGAAAAAGAUAAUCUUAGGUUCCUUAGCACUCAGCUUAAGUCACAGUUUCAGAACUGUGGAGAUUUCAUAAUGGCCCUAAAAUUUGUCUAACCACUAUUAGGCUCAGAACUAAUAUUACUGAAAACCAAACAUAAAAUUUAGUGUACAGUUUGCUGAAUUACAGUAACAGUUGACUUCGCAGUCUGGUCAGGUUUCUCAUGUGAAUGUUAGAACAUUGAUUGGAAAAUAAUGAGGUCCUGAAUCUUGUAAUUUGUACAUAUGGCUGAGCUCAGAAAAAACCCCAGUAAUUUUGGCCACAGAAGUCAUUCUGAGUUUCUUUCAUCAGUGGAAGUAGCUUGCCUUCCAAGAUCUGAGGAAACUAGCCUUACUCUGCAUGAAAAGCCCGUGAUAACCUCACUGGGAGAAGACACCAUAUCCUCCUCCAGAUGUAUCACAACCACCUCCUGUUGCUACUAGACCUAUGGGCUAGGGUAACAUAUCACCACGCUACAGGAGACAGUGAAAACAGGACAGCCCAGGAAGGGAUGGCUUACAUUAUGAAGGCAUUGACUUUUCGAACAUAUAUCAGCAAAAAUCUGCAGAAAAUUUCUAAGGGUCUUUGAACAAAGAUGAUAAAAUACAACCCUAGAUUUGGCUGAAUUUCUUUGGUACGAUGCGCUUACUAGAGACUUUAGAUUUAUGUUUUAGUUUUGCAGUUGUGGGUAGCUCUAACAGCUUUACAGAAACUUGAAUGCAAUGGUAGUCUACAUUUAAUAAGACUGAGAUUCCAGACCUUCCCUGAAAUGCUGUGGAGAAGACAACUCAAAGAUUUUGGAGAUAAUGGAAUUGAUGGACUGGAUUUGUUAUGUGUGAUCUGCGCAUUUACUCCCCAAUUAUGUUUCAUGAGAGAGCCCAGAAAAUAUGCCCUUCCCUUUUGAGUUUAAAAAUGUGUUAGUAGGGGGAACGAUUGUAUCCUUGAAAAGUUUGGUCAUUGCUGUCUUUCGUAUGACUGUGGCUAUGGGCUCCCUGAUUUCAGUGAGGCUGAGGGGAACCCAUAGGAGCAGAGGCCAAGCAGCAGUACUUAAUCACCAAAGACAAGGUGGCACACCUAUCAUAGGGACAGCAGGAAUAUAUCAGCAAUCAAGAUUUCUCUGCCAUGUUUCGGUGGAUAAUUGAGAAACUAGAUGGGCAGCCUACUAGAGUAUUGCAAAAAAAACAAGAAAUCACAGGGAAAAUUCUAUCUCUGAUAGCCAAAAAUCUGACUUGAAUUCGUCCAAUAAACAGUUAUAAUUUUAUAAAAUAGUUGAGAAAAUACAAUUUUUACAGACUGUGGUCCAUAUUUGUACUCCAUAAGGAUGUCUACCAAAUGACAGUCAAUGCAGAGGAGGCUUUUAAUAAUGAGGUGGAUGAAGUGACAUGCUGACUAAAUAUCAGUUGGCUUCUUGUAACAGCCACCCAGUGCUUGCACAAGGAUACAUGAACAAAGUUGCCAUCAUGACAGGGACGGAAGCUAUCAUGGACUUGCCUUCACCAAGGCUGACCUGGUUAAUUGAAACUCAGUCAAGAGCAGUGAGCAACAAUCAUCCAGAGACUUAGCACAAACCCAAGAGGCCCCAGUCAGCAGCCUGGUGGCACAGUGAUGAGUACAGUAGAUCUUGUUCAUUGUGAGGGGAACAGAGAUUGGUCCUCAGUAGAGUGUCUUCCCUUGCCAUAACACUUUUUUCAGAACUACUAUUUAUUGACUCAAAAAAAUGGCUUUCCUGCCAUCCUGGCAUUCUGCACAGCACAGAAUAUGAUAAAAUAAUUUAGUUGCAAAGUAAGAGAAGCCAUGUACUUAAGUCUAUGAAAUGAACUCAUCACAUAUCCCAUCACCUGGAAGCAGCUCACCUAAUUGAAAGGUGAAGGACUUGCCAAAAUAUAAGACUACUGAAGACUCAGUUAUGGUGCCACUUGGGAAAAAUGCCCCAAAAGAAUGGGGUUUACAGGAUAUAGUACAUGCUUUGAAUCAGAGGCCAUUAUGUAUGGCUCUGGGAAUUGAGAUGUGGCAGGAGAGGGGCAAAUCCCACUGUUACACCUCAUAACCGACUCACAAAAUUUUUGCUUUUUGUCCUGGCAACUUUGAACUCUGCUGGUUUAGCAGUCUUAGUUCCCUGGGGGGAAAUGCUUCCACCUAAAGAUACAAAAAUAUUUCUACUACAUGGGAAGACAAGACAGUCACUUGGUUAUCUUGGGCUCUUGAUGCUACCUAACCAACAGCCCAUGCCCUCCCACAAAAUAAAACAAUUACUCUAUUAGCUGGAGAGAUUAAUCUUAAUUUGAUCUUCAUUAAUAAAGAGAAACUGGUU
Callithrix jacchus (white-tufted-ear marmoset) is the source of this 5450-nucleotide long non-coding RNA. RefSeq lists it as uncharacterized. Lineage: Eukaryota; Metazoa; Chordata; Mammalia; Primates; Cebidae. The record is from RefSeq and is a predicted model, not a curated record.